Molecule: ribosomal RNA, 442 nt
Filed under: uncultured bacterium
Lineage: Bacteria
Description: bacterial SSU rRNA
Rfam family: Bacterial small subunit ribosomal RNA
Source: RNAcentral
GAACGGCAGCACAGGUAGCUAUACCGGGUGGCUAGUGGCGGACGGGUGAGGAAUACAUCGGGACCUGCCCAGACGUGGGGGAUAACGUAGGGAAACUUACGCUAAUACCGCAUACGUCCUACGGGAGAAAGCGGGGGAUCGCAAGACCUCGCGCGGUUGGAUGGACCGAUGUUCGAUUAGCUAGUUGGUAGGGUAAUGGCCUACCAAGGCGACGAUCAGUAGCUGGUCUGAGAGGAUGAUCAGCCUCACUGGGACUGAGACACGGCCCAUACUCCUACGGGAGGCAGCAGUGGGGAAUAUUGGACAAUGGGCGCAAGCCUGAUCCAGCCAUGCCGCGUGGGUGAUGAAGGCCCUAGGGUUGUAUAGCCCUUUCGGCGGGGAAGAUAAUGACGGUACCCGCAGAAGAAGCCCCGGCUAACUUCGUGCCAGCAGCCGCGGUAAU